GGGGGGACUUACCUACGACCCGGUACAUGUUGGCAGCCAUGCCCGGGCUGGGGAGGUCCGGGCCGCGCCCGCCGCCGCUGCCUCCAGACCUGACCAAGAUAGAGCUCUAGCUGAAAGAGAACUGACUACAUCACAAUCCAGAUGAGACAGAAGAAAAAGGAAAGCAUUAAGAUGCAUCUCCUAUAACUGUCCUUCAGCCUCCAACUGCCUGGCUUUCUUCUACAGAUUUAAGGAAACAUAUCCUCACAUUUUCCCCUAGUGUAAACAAGGAGGAGGAGCCAACACCAUGUGACCUGCCACCUCAUCAUUUACUCCUAGCAAGUGCCCAGUGAUCACUGUUUUGAGAAUCUUUGGGAGGAUUUUUCUGUGCAGUUACCACAGAGAAAAUGAACGUGUCCACCUCCUGGGGAAGAACUAUUUUGUGGAUAAGUGUUAGACAAAAAAUACCUUCUCUCUGAGAGCCCCUUCCGGAGUGAACUAUAGACCUGAAACUUUCCACAAGGAAAACUGAGCAUGCACACCAAGGUGUUUGUGUGGAGAAAGCUUUCAGGUAAAUUGACUCCUGCCAAUUAACGGCAGCAUCUUUGUUAUGCAUUGACCUCCAUAUCCCUCAUUCCAUCCCACUCCUCAGGCAGAACCAAGCUUAUGGCCCCUGCAGUACAUGUCCUCUCUCCUGACCCCAUCCCUACUUCUUCUGACAAUCCCAAGGACAGUUGUCCAUUCAUUGUUCCUAAGACACAUAUCAUUUCAUGCUGAAUGUCUGAACUACAGCAGCGGAGAGGGAGUGUGUACU
Molecule: long non-coding RNA, 793 nt
Organism: Gopherus evgoodei (Goodes thornscrub tortoise)
Lineage: Eukaryota; Metazoa; Chordata; Testudines; Testudinidae
Exons: 5
Source: RefSeq, a predicted model, not a curated record